ACACAUUCCAGCCAAUCAGCAGCAGACCCUCCCUCCCAGACCCUCCCAUCUCCUGGACAGCUCACUAAGAAUGCAGCUUCAGAAUGAAUGUAAAAUGGAUGCUGUCCAGGAGGUGGGAGGGUCUGGGAGGGAGGGUCUGCUGCUGAUUGGCUGGAAUGUGUCU
This 163-nucleotide microRNA precursor is filed under the name Pelobates cultripes (western spadefoot toad). The record is from RNAcentral. Lineage: Eukaryota; Metazoa; Chordata; Amphibia; Anura; Pelobatidae.